AUUUCCUUUAGCUCUUUAGGUCUAAACUGUUUUCAUAACGGCGUUCAGUGAACGAGGAACAUUUGAAGUGACAUUGUUGCAACUCAUCAAAGACUGUUGCUUUUUAUGACGAGUGAGUUAAUGCUUUGAUUUGAAUUGCAGUGGCUGAAAUUCCGUUGAAAUUGCGAGGAGACCAGUAGAAAGCAGCAUUGUGGCGGUUCUAUUUUGACUUGCUACUGGCACAAAAGGAGUGUGAGUAGAGAGGAUGAACUUUCGGUGGAUUACCGGUGAUUCUGACUAAUUCUAUCCCUACUGAUUCGAGCGAGGACAGACAACUGAGGGCUAUAUCGUGUUGAUUUUCACGUACCUUGUGAUAGACUUGCUGCAUGGGAGCGGUAAAAGUGUGAAUUUUUUAGGAAGUGUUUCAAUAUUUGUGGACGGAAACAAACACACUGCUUAUAAGGACUGGAACCAUUAACUGUAACCAGAUGAGGGGGAGCGGACAUGAUAUUCCCUGAUGACUACAUGGAGGUAAAGGGUAACAGAGUGACUGGAGCAGCUGCAUCUAAGAUAAAAGGGAAAACAGGACUUUGUGUGGACAUAUUGAAUUCACAAAAUCAAUCGAGAAUGCAGUUUGGCAUGAGGCAGUGCUGUAACCUGCACCAUUACACAGGACAGAUAGAUGAUGGUGCUUCUUGAGGCUGCAGUGUGGCAUGAGGCAGUGCUGUAACCUGCACCAUGACACGGGACAGAUAGAUGAUGGUGCUUUUGAGGCUGCAGUGUGGCAUGAGGCAGUGCUGUAACCUGCACCAUGACACAGGACAGAUAGA
Haliotis rubra (blacklip abalone) is the source of this 809-nucleotide long non-coding RNA. RefSeq lists it as uncharacterized. NCBI's taxonomy places the organism in Eukaryota, Metazoa, Mollusca, Gastropoda, Lepetellida, Haliotidae. The transcript is spliced from 3 exons. The record is from RefSeq and is a predicted model, not a curated record.